CGAAAGCCUGACGGAGCAACGCCGCGUGAGUGAUGAAGGUCUUCGGAUCGUAAAACUCUGUUAUUAGGGAAGAACAAAUGUGUAAGUAACUGUGCACGUCUUGACGGUACCUAAUCAGAAAGCCACGGCUAACUACGUGCCAGCAGCCGCGGUAAUACGUAGGUGGCAAGCGUUAUCCGGAAUUAUUGGGCGUAAAGCGCGCGUAGGCGGUUUCUUAAGUCUGAUGUGAAAGCCCACGGCUCAACCGUGGAGGGUCAUUGGAAACUGGGAAACUUGAGUGCAGAAGAGGAAAGUGGAAUUCCAUGUGUAGCGGUGAAAUGCGCAGAGAUAUGGAGGAACACCAGUGGCGAAGGCGACUUUCUGGUCUGUAACUGACGCUGAUGUGCGAAAGCGUGGGGAUCAAACAGGAUUAGAUACCCUGGUAGUCCACGCCGUAAACGAUGAGUGCUAAGUGUUAGGGGGUUU
This 465-nucleotide ribosomal RNA is filed under the name Staphylococcus sp. C20R. RNAcentral's name for it is "bacterial SSU rRNA". It matches the Rfam family "Bacterial small subunit ribosomal RNA", at positions 376 to 833 of the family's 1533-position model. Lineage: Bacteria; Bacillati; Bacillota; Bacilli; Caryophanales; Staphylococcaceae. RNAcentral also lists the same sequence under 1 other name. The record is from RNAcentral.